UGGGGAAUUUUUCCGCAAUGGGCGAAAGCCUGACGGAGCAAUGCCGCGUGGAGGUGGAAGGCCUACGGGUCGUCAACUUCUUUUUCUCGGAGAAGAAACAAUGACGGUAUCUGAGGAAUAAGCAUCGGCUAACUCUGUGCCAG
This 143-nucleotide ribosomal RNA is filed under the name uncultured bacterium. RNAcentral's name for it is "partial 16S rRNA". It matches the Rfam family "Bacterial small subunit ribosomal RNA", at positions 355 to 511 of the family's 1533-position model. The record is from RNAcentral.